Small nucleolar RNA from Papaver somniferum (opium poppy), 111 nucleotides. RefSeq annotates it as small nucleolar RNA snoR97. NCBI's taxonomy places the organism in Eukaryota, Viridiplantae, Streptophyta, Magnoliopsida, Ranunculales, Papaveraceae. The transcript has a single exon. The record is from RefSeq and is a predicted model, not a curated record.
GCUAACUGGUGAACAUGAAGACUGAAACAACUCAUAGAAUGUGUGCUGUUGUUGCAGAAGCUUCUUCUUUCGUAAUUAACGAGACCGGAGUUUAAUAACAUCACUACAUUU